AUAAAAUAAAAUUAUGAAUAGAGGUACUAAUGAUCACAUGUACCAUAUCUUAAAAUUUUACUGAUGAAAACCACCGGUGGCAGCUUGGGAGGCUGAGACAGGAGGAUCGCAAAUUCAAAGCUAGCCCCAGCAAAGGUGAGGCACUAAGCAACUCACUGAAACCCGGUCUCUAAAUAAAAUCGAAAAUAGGGCUGGGGAUGUGGCUCAGUGGGUUUGAGUGCCCCUGAGUUCAAUCCCCGGAGGGGAAAAAUUGUUUUUUUACUGAUAAGGAAUUCAUUUUAGAAAAUCCUGUGAAGCACUAAGAAUAGUGUCUGGCACCAAGUAAAACUCAGUAAAUUUCAUCAAGUGUUCUUAGAGUUAUUAUUACUUCUCUGUGCUCUCUUAUAAAAUUCUUAUUUAAUGACUUUCCAUUGAGAUCAAUGUGUUUUGUCAUAAAGUCAUUAAAAUUAGCUUUCACAGAAAGUUUUUUUUUUAAAUAAGUGGAAAUGACUAUCUCUAAAUCUGGAGAUUCAGAAGUUCAUUCAAACUAUCUAGCAGUGUUUCCCAACAUUUUCCAUCUGGAAACAACCAUUAAGAGACCAAAAAGAGCAUGAAACGCUGCAUAACUAAAUGCAAAGUUUUUUUGUAUUAAUGAAAGGUUGGAAAAGAGAUUGGAGGAAUGCUCAAAAGGUAGCAAAAUGGGACAUUUUUUCUCAACUUCUGAAAUGUUUGCAUUUUAUUUUAUUUUAAUUUUUUGGUACCAGAGACACUUAAUCACUAAGCCAUAUCCUCAGGCCUUUAAAUUUUUAAAUUUUGAAACAGGGUCUUUCUAAGUUGCUGAGGCUGGCUUUGAACUUGCAAUCUUCCUGCUGUAGCCUCUUGAGUAGCUGGGAUUACAGGUGUGUGCCAGUGUGCCUGGCUAAUAUGGUUGGGUAUUAAUUCUGCAAAUAAAAACCUUGAAGACUACUUGAGUUUCAGAAAGUAGAAGGUAAAAGAAUUGAUGGAUUAUGAUUGUGUUUAUUCAGAGUGGUUCUGGUAGUCCAUGCCAACAAAUAAUGCCAGGGAGAGAAUCUAUGCAUUAUACCUUUUAAUAGUGCCAAUGACAGCUUAGUACUCUAGUUUAAAAUUUAGUGCCUGUAUUAGGAAUUUUUUGUUUUCACAUUUCCGGUAGCAUCCAUCUUAGGGAGAGCUGAUGUCUAUGGAACUAUUUUAAUCUGGUUUUUUAAACCUUCUGCUUUACACUUUUUUUUUUUUUUGGCC
This 1239-nucleotide long non-coding RNA is filed under the name Marmota monax (woodchuck). The record is from RNAcentral. Lineage: Eukaryota; Metazoa; Chordata; Mammalia; Rodentia; Sciuridae.